GGUUACCUCACCAUGUGAUUCAGCCAUCUUCCGGAGCGGAGGUCUUGGUGGGACAUGCUUUGUUUUGUUUUGUUUUUGGUACUGGGAAUCGAACUCAGGAGCUUGUGGUUGUGAGGCAGGCGUGGUGCCACUGAGCUAAAUCCCCGGCCCCUGGGACGUUCUUGAUACAGUUGUAGGUUCUGGGAUUACAAUGUGGACAUUUCAGUGGAGCCCAUUUUUCCACCAACCAUGUACCCAGAUAGGUACCUUCAGCACACACAUAUGAUUUUAGGAGCAUAUGGGAAUGUAAAGUCACCAAACCAAGAGGAAAGUAACGAUGAGCUGAAAUAAUUAAAUAUGGCCAGGACUUCCACUCUGGGCUCUAACAAUCUUUACUACAAGCCAUCUUCAACAGCAAUAAGAAACUCUGAACAAGGAUUGAGUCUCAGUUUGAAAAGUCUGCGAAAGAAACUGGAGACACUUAGGAGUCUCUCAAACACUGCAGUAACAUUUACCAUGGACUUGCUGAGUUCCUGCCACUUCAGUGUAUUUUUCCAGGUAUUGCAAUGACCACUUUUAAUCCCAACACUUGGGAAACUGGGCCACAGGGCAUGAACUGAGAUCAGUCUGGGUUACAUAGUGAGGAAGGUCAACCUGGACUACACAUUCUGAGACCUUGUCUGAAAAAGU
Long non-coding RNA from Heterocephalus glaber (naked mole-rat), 669 nucleotides. The record is from Ensembl. NCBI's taxonomy places the organism in Eukaryota, Metazoa, Chordata, Mammalia, Rodentia, Bathyergidae.